This 450-nucleotide ribosomal RNA is filed under the name uncultured bacterium. RNAcentral describes it as "bacterial SSU rRNA". It matches the Rfam family "Bacterial small subunit ribosomal RNA", at positions 354 to 796 of the family's 1533-position model. The record is from RNAcentral.
GUGGGGAAUAUUGCGCAAUGGGCGAAAGCCUGACGCAGCGACGCCGCGUGAGGGAUGAAGGUCUUCGGAUCGUAAACCUCUGUCAGCAGGGAAGAACGGUCACUGUGCUAAUCAGCAGUGAAUUGACGGUACCUGCAAAGGAAGCACCGGCUAACUCCGUGCCAGCAGCCGCGGUAAUACGGAGGGUGCGAGCGUUAAUCGGAAUUACUGGGCGUAAAGCGCUCGUAGGCGGUAUGUCAAGUCAAGGGUGAAAUCCCCGCGCUCAACGUGGGAACUGCCUUUGAAACUGGCAAACUGGAGUGUGUGAGAGGAUAGUGGAAUUCCAGGUGUAGGAGUGAAAUCCGUAGAUAUCUGGAGGAACAUCAGUGGCGAAGGCGACUAUCUGGCACAUAACUGACGCUGAGGAGCGAAAGCGUGGGUAGCAAACAGGAUUAGAAACCCCGGUAGUCC